This 21-nucleotide non-coding RNA is filed under the name Caenorhabditis elegans. The record is from RNAcentral. Lineage: Eukaryota; Metazoa; Nematoda; Chromadorea; Rhabditida; Rhabditidae.
UUUACCAAACUUCUUCAGACG